Molecule: ribosomal RNA, 307 nt
Filed under: uncultured Desulfocapsa sp.
Lineage: Bacteria; Pseudomonadati; Thermodesulfobacteriota; Desulfobulbia; Desulfobulbales; Desulfocapsaceae
Description: bacterial SSU rRNA
Rfam family: Bacterial small subunit ribosomal RNA
Source: RNAcentral
GUUGGGUUAAGUCCCGCAACGAGCGCAACCCUUAUCUUUAGUUGCCAUCAUUGAGUUGGGCACUCUAAAGAGACUGCCGGUGUCAAACCGGAGGAAGGUGGGGAUGACGUCAAGUCCUCAUGGCCUUUAUGACCAGGGCUACACACGUACUACAAUGGCCGGUACAAAGGGCAGCGACACAGCGAUGUGAAGCGAAUCCCGAAAAGCCGGUCUCAGUCCGGAUUGGAGUCUGCAACUCGACUCCAUGAAGUUGGAAUCGCUAGUAAUCGCGGAUCAGCACGCCGCGGUGAAUACGUUCCCGGGCCUU